RNAcentral lists this long non-coding RNA (1887 nucleotides) under Nicotiana benthamiana. RNAcentral describes it as "long non-coding RNA (NBEN_LNC030363)". The record is from RNAcentral. Lineage: Eukaryota; Viridiplantae; Streptophyta; Magnoliopsida; Solanales; Solanaceae.
GAAAACCUAUGAUAGCCGACAUAUUUUUAGUCCCAAUUUAAACGAAUGUAAAACAAAUUAGUCUGCUUUAUUGCCUACUUAUAAUAAUUUCAGCACUCAUGAUGCAUUCUUUUAACGAGCAAGAAGUAGAAUAAGAACCAAAGAAACUGAAAGAAACUCGGAUAUACGACUCUUCUUCACUUUCAAUCGAAUAGAACAAAAUUACAAGGUUGAAAGUUACCUAGAAUGCAGAAUUUUAAACGCAGCAACAAGGUAGAGAAAAACGAUAACUAAACCCAGCCAAUAUCAACUAGCAACAGCAGCAAAAAACCAACAAAGGACACCCGAAACAAAAAUCAAACCCCAGGAACUUCAGGCACUUUCAAAGAAACUAAAGCCCAGAAACUAAAUUUACUACUUUUAUUUUUGGAAGAUUUUUUCUUGAUUUCAGCUUACUGUAAUGUAUUCAGCUUUUUUUGUUUGUUAAGGAGGGACGUUUUUAUUUUUGAAAGAUUUUCUUGGUUUCAGCUUACUGUAAUGUAUUCAGCUCUUUUUUUGUUAAGGAGGGACCCCUCUCUUUAUAAUAGUAGAAGGUCCUUGAGGUUAGGUUUUCCUUUAACCAAAAAUCUGCCCAAAAAAUGAGAAAAAGACUGUCUUUUUUCACUAAUUUCAGACACAAACAAAAGUAGAUAUACUCCCAACAACUCCAAAACAGUAAAAGAAACCAAACAUGUACUCUACUUCAUUGUUUACCUUUUAUCCUUCACAAACUAAUAUCAAACUAACCAAACUGAUUUAAACUAGUGUAAAACCAGAAAAUUCAGCGUUUUAGUAAUUAGAAAGUAACCCAUGAUGCUGCAAAAAAAAUAAUCAGAGAUGAAAUCCAUGAUUAAGGAGCGUAUUAACAGUAAAGUAAUUAAUGACAACAAAUCUAAAUAAAUGACGAUGCAAUCAAAUAAAAUAAACAAACGAGACAAAACUUAACAAUAAACAAAAAUCUAAAAUCAAUUAGGAAGUAAAAAAUAGAAAAUCAGUAAAAAGAGAAGAAAUUAAUAUUGUGCGCUAUGCGCGGAUCCAAACUUCGUUACACGAUUGCGGACGUGUAAUUGAGACGACAACCUAUGGCCACCAAGCUCGAAACUUGGAAAAAGCCUCAAUCAGUUAUUGCCGAGAUGGAGUCUCUGCCAAGCCUCAAAUUGAUGGCUUGGGUGUCGUUUGGCAGUGGGUGGAUAAAUGGUGAAGGGGUUGCUUUGAUGGUAAGCAUCCCCACUUCCAACUGAGAGGUUGUGAGUUCGAGUCUCCCUAAGAGCAAGGUGGGAAGUUCUUGGAGAUGUCGGGCGUCUAUUGGGAAACAGCCCCUCUACCCAAGGUAGGGUAAGGUCUGCGUACAUACUAUCAUUCCCAGAUCCCACUAAGUGGAAUUAUACUGGGUUGUUGUUGUUGUUGUUAUAGUGAUGGCGUUGGGCGGUCGUAGAUGACUGGUCGGAAAAUAAUUGUUGUGUUUGGGGAUUGAAAUUAACAUAAAUAGGUAGGUAUUGAGGAGUUCUAUCCAUUAAUGUAUGUAUAACAGUGUGGUGGUGGCCGAAACUUCACGAAUUUGGGGGAAAAUGUGGUGGUUAGGGUUUCGUAGAUCUAAAAUUUAUGGAGUUUGAGGGGGGUUUUGAAGGGUUUGGUUUGAAGAUAUGGAAAGAGGACAUAUUGUAGAUUACAUGGUGAAAUUUUGGUGAUUGUUUGGACGCCGGUAGGCAGCGGCUGGCGGUGAUGCCGCCAUGGAGAGGGGUGGCGAUGGUGGCAGAGGAGUGGGAGAGAAGAAAUGAGCCUCUAGGGUUUGGGAGAGUGGAAUGAGCUAAAAUUCUGAUUAUAGGGGUUUUAUACUCCAUGAAGGAUUAAAUGAGGACCCUUGGAUCA